RNAcentral lists this long non-coding RNA (654 nucleotides) under Prunus persica (peach). RNAcentral describes it as "long non-coding RNA (PPER_LNC004148)". The record is from RNAcentral. Lineage: Eukaryota; Viridiplantae; Streptophyta; Magnoliopsida; Rosales; Rosaceae.
AGUGGGCAAAAUGGUAAUUGUGACAAGGGCCAGAAACUCUUCAUAGUUGUCUUGGCUGUUAGGCAUCACAACAAACCAAACCCUCCUGUUGCUCCCACAACUCCCCCUAGCACCAGCCCUACCUCCCCAUCCCCCAAAUCUCCAUCUCCUCAGUACCCUCAUCACCCUCCUGGGACCUCACCAUCACCAGCAUCAGUGGCUAACCCUCCAGCCACCUCACCAUCACCAGUAGUGGCUAGCCCUCCUGCCACCUCCCCAUCACCAGUGGGCUACCCUCCUGCCACCUCCCCAUCGCCAGUGGGCUACCCUCCUGCCACCUCACCAUCACCAGUGGGCUACCCUCCUGCCACCUCACCAUCACCAGUGGGAUACACUCCUGCCACCUCACCAUCCCCAUCAACAACAACAUCUCCAGCGCUAGCGCCAGGUCCAUCUUCAUCCCUUACACCAUUUCCUUCUCCACCCUCACCGCCCCCCGAGGGGCCCACACCGCCCUCCGAGGGGCCCACACCGGCCCCGUCCGCAGAGUCUGCGGGCCCCACACCACCGGGAACCGUUUCUCCGCCGCCCGGGACAGCGGACUCGACGGCUCCGAGACCGGCGGGGAGUGGAGCGUCGCAUAGUGUAACGGCUCCUUCGAGCGUGCUGGUGUCU